RNAcentral lists this long non-coding RNA (551 nucleotides) under Sorghum bicolor (sorghum). Its description in RNAcentral is "long non-coding RNA (SBIC_LNC007392)". Lineage: Eukaryota; Viridiplantae; Streptophyta; Magnoliopsida; Poales; Poaceae. The record is from RNAcentral.
UGGCCCACCCAUGGUUCCACACCGCGGGCUAGUCAUCUCGCCUAGGGUCAAUAUAAACUCACAAAUUACAUAUUAUUGUUUAUCAUAUUUUUAAAUUUGUUUGGCUAUCUCAUCUUACUCGCUGAUCUUCUAUUUAGGUACUCAUUCUCUGUUUCGAUUUAAUAGGUGAUUUGCGAGUUUAAGGACCAGUUGAUAUAGUUAAACAAGUUUGAAAAUCUAAAUAGAUGUCUUGCAAGUUUAGGAAUCGAGAUGGUAGAAACUAAUAUGUUUAAGAACCUAAACAAAUGACUUGUAAGUUUAGCGAACACGUUUGAUGGCCACCAAUAGACUUUACUUUUAUUUUAUUUAUUUUUUGUUUUCGACGAUCUUAGCUGCAUUGUGUGAACAUGAAUAUUAGAAAAAUGUAUGAGGUUAAUUUUUCAUGAGAAGCUAACUUAUCAUUCUCUCAUUUUUAAUAAAUGUUUUAUAGCUAACUCUUUUAACAUUAUUGAAGCUGCAUAGACCUUUAGCAGAUAUGUUCGCACAAGGGAACAAAAUAAGAAACGGGUAAC